UGGCAAUCAUCUAAAAAAUGGUGGAUUCAAGAUCGAGUGACUUCAUGUCUGUAUUGGAAUGAACAGUCUGUGAUAUUCGAAGGAUAGACAUAACGCCAUAUGAAUUAUUUGCACCCAAAAAAGUAAACGAUGGUGCUUAUUAUUAUCAUCUGAACUAACAGUAGUUGAUCAUUCGUGUUUCAUCUGUUUCCAGUGUUUGGGCUGGCUCGAAUGACAGUCAUUUGAAGCGCUUCAUGCGUUUGCGAGAUAAGUUUUUUCAUUAUUUCUGUGCAGUCACAAAAAGUCAGCGACAUCAAAACGUGAAAAUACUGCUGCUUGUCAUCUUCAAGACUAACGUACCCUAGAAAAAUUGCUUUGGAGCUGAUUUCCUGGUAUUGGGAGAGAAACUAGCGUCCGGAUCAAAGGAUUUAUUUGCAUAUUUUCGAGCAAUGCCACUGACAUGGUGUCUUUCAACAUACGGAAUAGCCGUUAUUUAGUGCAAAUUACUGGUCAAAGCCAUAGUAUGCAAGGCAAAGAAGGAGUACUGGAAAGGGAGUGAAAUAUACAAUAGGAUGGAUGCCAAAUAGCUGUCAAUUGAUGACUAUGUUGAUCGGAACUAUUAUUCUGGUGAAAUGGUGGCACUAACGAUUCAAUAUCGUACGGGAACCACGAGUCCCGAGAGAUUGUAGUUACAGGUAUUCCUAUCCCAAGGUUUGGAAAAUUUCCACACGACCGGCACUAGGUGAUGGCCAAAUCUACUGGUUUCACAUAGCCGUCUUAGUCCCUGAAUCAGAUUCGAGAGCUAGACGGAUCGCAUGAUAUGCAACAUGAGGAGCCAAUGUUCGAUCUGCUUUGGUUCUAUCCCGAUGACCAUGGCGGCUGAACUACAUUGCCCCACAAUGCUGAUUACCUUUGGAAAUGUACAAUCAAUUAAACAAUCUGACACAGAAAACACCAGCACCGCACAAACGUAAGAGAUUCUGUGAUGGACCAACGUUGCCGCAAGAGAACACUGGUAGCAAUAGGUUUGUUCCAGUCCCAGGAGAAACUGGAAGUACUCCGAAGAAAACAGGGAGAAAAUCGUUCCUGUAUUAUCUUCUUUUCUUUUCCUUCUUCUGGUAGCAAAUCGGAGUGAAAAGGAGCAAAAAUUUUUUGUUCCGGAGCAACAGGGAGUGACUUCCGUGUACUGGAACAAACCUAAUCAUUGUUAGCAGAAAGGAAACCACUCUUUUGCGCUCAAGCAAGAAACCAAGUCACCCAGCAAUUUUUAAGUUUACCGUAAAACUUGAAGUCACUGAGCUAGAUCAGCAACCUCCCGGUGCGAUUGUUAAAAGUCGAUCAACGAUCCAGUAGAAUUACGCACUAGACAAGAGAAUAUGUCCGGAAUUACAAAUUCUAACUCAUCAGAAAAAUAUCUUUAAAAAAGCACUAGCUCGGAAACGGUAUCAAUCCAAACUAUGAAAAGUUUCGACUGACUCCGACGCAAAUUCCGGAAACUUUUCUUCGUUGAUUGCGCGAAUAUUAUUAUUCGUGGCAUUUAAAACUGGACUCCAUGAAAGUGCGAUUUUUCUUAUAAAAGUGCGCUUUUACAUUGAAUCGUUUUCAUGUAUGAGGCGCACUUAUUCCUCGUUGGAUAAUACAUAAGUGCGUAAUAGACACCAAGACGAUUCAAUGUUAAAGCGCAGUUCUAUUGGCGUUUCCGCACUUUCAGUCGCACUUAUUAUGUGCGCAAUGCGCUAUAUAUUCUGGUACUGCUGGGUAAAUUUCACAUUGAAGAAUAAUUCCGUUGCUAGCUGCCAUGAUUCAGCAUCGAGAGAUAGAACCUAUAGUCGAGAUCGAAUCAAGAGAGCAAGGCAAACCGUUGUCACUAAACGUCCUAGCACUAAACUAAAACAAGUUAUAUUACACAUAAGACAUAACUUUCUCCGCUGAAGGAAGGCAACAAAUUUUUACCGUUAAAUUUGAAGACUGCGUAAUUGUCUCUCUUCGUUUACUUUCGUAGUCACCGACGUUACGUAACAUGUUUUAACUGAAGAAUUUUUUUUGAAGACUCACGUACCGGGGGAGUAGCGUUAAAAAAAGUUGUGGUUCAGCCGGAAAUGAACAGGAUUUCUGGCUGGUUCCAGUUCGUAUUCUGGCUCCAGUAACACAACCGAUUCUAAUUAGCCACUGAAGUCGGAAUACGAACUGGAACCAGCCAGAAUUCCGGUUCAUUUCCGGCUGAGCUUAACUGGGUGCUAAAGCUGUAAGAUUGUCAUGAUGACAUUGGUAACGAAACUAUAUUAAGCAAAGUGUCAAAAGUUUGAAUUCAAUGUGAGGUUUUUUUUAUACUACGGUAGCAUGUUACAAGCAUUUGGAUUGUGUUUUGAUGUUUUUAGAAUAUAUUAUUUUGAUCAAUAGUUUUUAAGAAACCAAUAACAAUAAAUUACGUUUGCAAAAUGCAAUAAACUGUUUCAAUAAUAAUUAUAUAUGUACAACCAAUUCCUUGAUUUGAACUGAUCUUCUGCUUAAAACCAAAUAUAUAUCGUCUUGUUCUUUGAGCAACUUUCAUCCAACUUUUCGAUGACAUUUAUGCUAAGAAAUAAUGGAAGUAUUUCGAUUUUCUGAUUUGGUAUAUACGCUGAAUAUGGGGAUGUCUUAUCAAAUUCGACGUUUUAGUUAUUGUAAAGUUAAUGUUAACAUUUCAAUCUUGAUCGGUUGUUGCUUUGCAAUGCGAAACUUUUGCUUCUAUUUUCUGAAUGUCUAUCAUUUGAUACUUGCAUACAAGGGUGGAAAGUAACUUGCAACAAAAAUCAAAAGGCUGUCAUCCAAAACACAACUGACAAAUGUUAAAG
This is a long non-coding RNA of Topomyia yanbarensis, 2813 nucleotides long. RefSeq lists it as uncharacterized. The transcript has 3 exons. Lineage: Eukaryota; Metazoa; Arthropoda; Insecta; Diptera; Culicidae. The record is from RefSeq and is a predicted model, not a curated record.